UUAGAUCCAGCCGUUGGAGACUCAUAUUCAAGAGAUGAAGUUCUUAGAUGCCUCCACAUUGGUUUACUAUGUGUUCAGGAAGAUCCAAUGGAUAGACCCACAAUGGCAAACAUUGUCUUGAUGUUGAACAGCUACUCUGUUAGCCUUGCAUUGCCCCAGCAACCGGCCUUGUUUUUCCGGAGCAGGACAGAGACAUCGAUGAAAGAACUCAAAUCGGACCAAUCAGCCAGCAGGUCUGCACCAGUGUCGAUCAAUGAGAUGUCAGUCACUGAGGUUUACCCCCGUUGAACGGUGAUGUGAGUGGAAAUCUUUCCUCACAAUAGUCUCCCAGAGACCUUGAUCAUAAGAUCCUAAGCACUCCAGCGAGAUCAUUAAGGAACAAUGAGCAAACACCUUUGGCAUGGAAGGCUGUUAUAUUUAUAUACAUGUGGGUGUGGUCUUAUUAAGUUGAGGAAUAUAAGUUCUUCCUUAUCUAAAGAAAUAAUCAACAGGAAUGGUCAGAGUUUCAUUUAUCGUCAUCUUUUAUUUUACUUUUCAUGAUGUAUGAGGAGAUAUAUCCAUUUGUACAUAAUCUGCACCACUUUAUUUUUGUCGCAUUUUAGAAGUCGAGGUCAUAAACCUCACCUCCAUAAAUAUUCCUUGGCGUGACUUGCAUAGUUACUUGAUUAUAAUGAUUGGUGGUUCAUUACUGAUGGAAAGGGAAGCAACUAAGCACGGAUCCUUCCACUCGUACAAUUCCUCAUCUAUACACAAGGAUAAACGUCUCCCUCGCUCUCUCUCUCUCUCUCUUACCGAUCCAUACACAGUGAGCCGAUGCCGGCCCCACUUCAGCCAAACUCGAUAGUUGAUUACCUUUUUCCACCGGCAUCCUCUCACAUGUCUCUCUUUAUCCGAGAUCUUAGCCAUGCCCUACAAGGAGUGGAGCUAGUCAGUGACACAUGUCAGUUCGUGAUUGGUGUACAGUACAUAAGUGCUUGCCACAUCAGCCGAAGGGGAACUUUGUAACCACUUGUUACUUUCUUCUCAAGUGGAGUCCGCUUACCUUGUGCAAUUAGACCCGAUAAGUUUUCUCGUGUCACAUCGAGGGAAGUUUGAAAAAUUUGUUAGAAAGUUACAUGAUCCCAGUCCAUCGACGGUCUCUGUCACCACCGUCAUCAAUUGAAACUGAGAUUAUUAGAGCUGCAUAUAUCUGGACCCUGGUUGGUCAAGUCUCCACACUCAACAAGAGAAUGCAACUCACGCAACUGAUCUUGACAAAUGACCCUUGUGCGAGGACAAAAAGGCUACCAUUCUCACCGUUCAUCCUAUUAUCUUUCCCCACCUGAAUCAGAAUGGCACCACCAACAGCCAUUCAUUCACAAUUUUUUGGUCAACCCACGUGACAGUUUAUCUUCCAAAGUUUUGCGAUAAGUCAAGAAAGCAAAAUCAACACAAAAACUUAAAAUCCCAACACAUCUUUCUCUCUCCAUUGCAGCUCACACGGCCCUCACCUCAUUGCCGUGCCUCGCCACUAUCGGCUAUUACACAAGCUUGCCUCUAUCACAUGGGGAGGAGGGUGGUGACACUACCCAGUAAUUGAGGAAAAAAUUGUAAAAUGAGAAAAGGAAAAGAGAAAUAUGUGAAAGAAAAUGAAAAGAAAAGAAAGAGAUAAAUAGGAAGAAUAAAUUCAGACGAUUCUAUUCUUUAUGUUAAUGAGUCAUCUUCUUAAUCCAGCAAAUUGAGAAGGUCAAUUUGCACUCAUAAGGAGAAAACAUGUCAAUUAGCUCAAGUUCAGAGGAUCUAUAUACGCAACAAAAUAAACUAAUAAAAACUAGUAAGACAUCCGUGCAUGCACAGAUUUAAGAUUAUAUUUGUUAUAUUAUUUUCAAUGUAGGUUUUGAAGUGCAUCUUACCAAAAAAAAAAAAAAUAUGAACAUCUACAUCAAGCAAACUUAGAGCUUAUGUGGAGUUUCAUUUAAAGUGGAUCCGAAUCCCAUCAUACAAGCUCCGAUUAAAAGAAAAUAUGAGACGUACAAUUGUAGAAUUUUAUGGAAUCACAAUGUAAAUACAUGCAAUAAAAUAAUAAGAACAAAUAAGAAGCAUGAAAGCAUAAAUUAUGAACAUGAAUUGUCCUCUUCAGAUUUAUCAAUUUGUCGAAAUCGUCACCUUUGUCUCAUCAACUUGGUGCAGGAAAUGUGAGCAAGUUAUUUGUGUAGAAUUUUCUUGAGAGUAAAAUUUUCUCCUUUUCACCAUUCUAUUACCAAGAUAUGCAUAAGAAUUUGAGACUUGCAAAAGUAAUUAUCAAAGGCAAAUUAUCGGAUAAAGCUCCCCGUAACAAUUUUCUUUUUCCCGAGAGAACAGAACAUACUCUUCUUCUUUCGAUAAUUCUAUGCUCAGUCCCACAAGCAGAAUAAGAUCAUCGGACCAUGAAUUUUCGCUCGAUUAUCUCCCUCGCCCUCUUCUUUCUCUUUUGUCUCAUCGAUCACCGUCAUAUUACUAGAGCUACACCUGCUUAUCUACCGCAUUACUGCCAAGCACAACUUUCUUUGCUCCCAACUCCACCUACCAGUCCAACCUUAAAACCCUCCCCUCCCCUGCCACCGGCGUUGAAAAAAAUGCUUCGGAUUGAGAAGAAAAGGAAUCAUACUUUAAAGUGUGAUAACACUCUUUUAAAGAAAUUAUUUAUCUCACAACAUUGCUAAAAGUUACUGGCAAAAGUAUUUUGAGAUACAACAAAGCCUCGAAUGAGAAUUCCAAAUAGCAAUUCUAGUAUAUUUCCAAAAACUCUCAAAGGGAAAUUAUUAGAAAGAAUGCUGUAUUUUUUAAAAGAAAAUUCAACUAGACUUGAUAAUUAUCGAGACUAAAAACCAACGUAUUUAUCUUAGCUUUCUAAGCAGAAGCAACCCUUCAGAAAAUGUUGUAAAGUGAACAAAUACUUUAUUAAAAGACACAUUGGAUAAACAUAUUGAAAAAGUCUGAAUAAACAACAACAAUAAUAAUAAUUUUUUUUUUUAAAUUUCAAAUUUCAAUUUUGAAACAUACUAAUUGAACAAUAUAACCUUUCCAAGGUUGUGAGAUGCCUAAUAAAGAUUAGCAAAAUAAAAAUAAUAAUAAACAAUGAUUAAUGCUAAUUAUGAUCUGCAAGCGCGCCAAGUGCUAAGUGCACCUAAUAAUCACACAUCCACAAGUAGGUAUUGUGGGGUUUAGCUCACAUCCGAUCGUCUUCAUUUGAAUAAAUUAGAAGACAUCUACACUUAUAGAAUUGUUGACAUACUUUUAACUUUUCUAUGUGGAAUAAGGGAAAAAAAUACUAUUUAUUGUUUUAUAAACAUACAAGCAACAACUAACAACGGUGACGACUUCACCAAUGCCAUUGCUAGGGAGGACGCUCUUGACUGUGCCUUCAAGCUCUUCCCUUGUCGCGGUGAUGUCAGCGUAGUCAUGUGUAGCGAGUGCGUGGCUAUUGGAAUAAAAGACAUCCUCCGACGAUGCCUUGAUAGGAGAAUCUCCGUGAUUCGAUACGACGAGUGCAUGUUGAAGUACUUGUACCGGUCCAUUUACUCGGUAUUGGAGAUUCUACCUGGAUAUUUGAUGCUAGAGACCGGGAAAGUCGCUGAAUUAGAUCGUUUCAUGCAGCUGCUAGGAGUGAUCACGGAUGAUGUGGCGGAGAGGGCUUCGGGGAGCGAAUUGGGGAAGAAGUUUGCGGUCGCAGAGGUGAACUUCACAAGCUUGUAGAAGCUGUACACACUUGCGCAGUGCACGCUGGACUUGAUGGGGUUGGACUGUAACGCAUGCCUCUAGGCAAUGAUCGUAAGUCUAACUCGGGGAGAAGGAGGCGGCAGGUCAUUCGCUCCGAGCUGUGGAGUGAGGUUCAAGCUGUGCCCUUUUUAUAAUGCCUCGACCGUGGUGGCAAUAGCAUCACAUUUAAUCUAAACUAAUUUUUGUUUCAUAAAAACUCUCAACUGGUAUAUUCGUACUACAUUUAUCUCAAACUAAUUUUUGUGUCAUAAGAAUCCCAAACCAGUAUAUUUGGGUCACAUUUCUCCUAAACGGGUGCACUUAUGUCACAUUAAUUGCAAAAAAACCUCAUAUUUAUCACAAUUUGAGGUAAAUGUGAUAUGGGUGUACUUGUUUGGUAUACCGAUUAGGAAUUUUUUUGUAACAUGAAAAUUAAAUUAGGAUAAUGUGGCACGAAUGUAUUAAUUUGGAAGUUUUUUGCGACACAAAAUAAAUUUAUAGUAUAUGUGGCAUGGUAUACUAGUUUGUGAUUUUUUUUAUGGCAUUAGUCCAUAUUAAUAAGAUUUAUCAACAGUCAUGCACUAAGUCGUAUUUAUUUGUGAUAUAUGUGUAACCGUGUAAUUCAACCCUCAAAUGUUUAUUAUUUUCAUUGUAUUAUAACAUUAAUGACAAUGAACGAGUAUUUCCUAUGAUUUGCUAAUUACUGUUAGUACUCAUUUAUUUUAUAUAAUCUUUUGUGUGAUGAAAGAUACUUUUAAAAAAAAAAAAAUUAAACCUCUAGUUGUCAUAUAUAGACUAUCAUUUUGUAGUAGAUAUUGUUACAUUAUUCAACUCUUAGUAAGCAUUUUACUUAGCACAUAUUUAGUACUUAUUCAUAAAAUUUAUUUAUUGAAUAUGGUCUAUCAUGUUAUGUAGUUUUUGCAUCAAUUUGUUAACAUAAUCUACUCAUGAAAUAUACAAAAAAGAUAUAGACUACAAUGUUAAAAUUGAUAUUUCUACAGUGUUCAGCCCUUAGUGAGCAUCUUAUUCAGCACAAAUUUAGUACUUAUUAAUAUAAUUUAUUUGUUGAAUAUCGUCUAGGUACUUAUUUAUAUAAUUUGUUUUUUUUUAAAAAGGCUAUUAUGUCAUUCAAUCAUAUUAAUGAUUUGUUGAUAUAAUUCUCAUAAUAUGCGCUUAAAUAAUUGGUCAUAAUGUAUAUCCAUAAUUUUUUUUUUAAAUAAGUCAUCACAUGUUAAUCCUUCAUUAUGCUUGUUUUUUCAAUAUACAUAGUCAUAUGACAGAACCCUUUGAACAUAUACUUGUUUCCUUCAACAUGUAAUGAUGGGCGCCUCUGUUAUAUUUAUUUAUUUAUUUAUUUGUGAAGCAUAUUUUUGGAAAAAUUAUUUGAUCAGUCCUAAACCCAAUGUAAGAGUUCUAAUUCAAUCAUAAACUUUUCGAUUUGACCAAUUUAUUCCUAAACAUUUACCUAAAUUUCUAAUGUAGUGAUCUGGUGAAUUUUAUUUGAAAAAUAAUAACGUGGUGAUUCAAUCUUCAUCGAUCGUUGCACGUGGUAUGAUCAGCAUUUGACGAGGAAGAAUUUAAGCAAAUGUUGUCGUCUUGCAUUCUUUUUCUGAAUUGUUUUAAUUUGUUCCUUUUUCUUUCCCUUUGCUUUUCGUCGUUGUGGUAUUGUUCGACUUUUUCAGCACCUACUCUAGAAGGAAGCCAUGUCUGCAACUCUCUUCGGUCGCUCCCAACUAAGGUGCCGCGUCAACAAAGGACAAGGGACAAGCAGCGACGGGGACAGGCGAGGUCCAAAACUUGGCUUGAGGGCUCAGUGGGCCAUGGAUCCGGGUCGAUCCGAGGUCCAGACGGGUCAGCAGCAGCCUUACAUGACCGGCGGAAGCAACGGGGGCCAUUGUCGACCCUUACCUGAGUGAUGCAGAGCCACGGAGGGAUGAUUGGGGGAUUUUGCACCCCCAAAAAAAAGAAAAAUUCAGAGGUGGACAGUGGUGGACAGAAAGACCGACAUCUAAGGUUCUAGAACACACAAAAAAUCAGAGUUCUCAAGACUUCAAUCGAAAGGAUUUAAGAUGAUUGGGGGCCAUUGAUGGGCAGAAGUACAUCCUAGCACAUCGCAAGAUCCAAAGUGGACAUUCAUCUAGGGUGCAAACACAUGUUGCAGGGAGGAUACUAUGAAUUCGGGAUUACCACUUCGUUUCGCAGGGAAGAAGAAGAGCCGUGCAUGACUGAGUUCAUUGGGAGAUUACUUCGAAAAGUACGCGCGACAACCUUAUUUGCGCUCACCUGACGGACGUGACGCAACUAGAGUUAAGGAGGGGAGGUCGACGAGUCGCGUCCAUGGAUGAAGAUUAAUAAUAAAGAAGAAAAGAAUAGAAAAAAGAAAAAGAAAAGAAGAAGAAGAAGAUUGAGAUAAUAAAAUCAAAACUUAUUCGUUCCACUUACGUCCUUUUAUGUCAUUACCUAGAUGUGACAUUAAGUACUAAGAUAAGGAAAGUCUUUCAUGCACUCUGAGUAAUUAAGAAGCCAUCUCAAAUUUUAUCUUAUUUUCCUCGAAGCAUCAUUUAUUGUAUUGAUGUUCAAAUAAAUAUACACAGCUUUACUUAUCUACUACUAUGCCUUGGUGCGGGCUGACGAAGAUUUAAAAGUAUAAUAUACACAAUUACACUAUGUCAAAUAGCAAAUGGUUUAGCCAGAGGCAUGAUAAGUGAGCUCAAGAAAAAAGAUGUGGAUCUGGUGAAUUUAGUAUAUCAUGAAGCUGAUUUUUGUUUAUGCGACAAUAAUGAUCCUCAUAACUUAUGCAAUCAAAAGCGGGUCAUUGUCGCAUGUCAACACAAUCGAUGAUUGUGAUGAUCAUUCGAAUUGAGUAAAAACAAAGGCAUUGCCCUGAUCUGCUCGGACCAAUUUGUUGAUGUCUGUCAGUGACGUGUUCGUCUAGUAUGGUGAUUCGCGGAAUCUUUAUGUGAGUGACCUAUAGCAAUCUUAUUGACCUAAUAACUCCAAUUGAAAUGUAGCUUUCAAGGAGAGGGAUCGAUGUGUGCAAUACGUCAUAAUUGAAAAUGCAUGUUAAAAUUCAUAGUUGUGCUCAAGACUCGGUCGAAACAACAUCGAUUUGGUCAUUCUGAAAGAUCCAAAUACCUUCCACAGAUGGCGACAUUUAACUGAAUCGAAACAAGCAGAUGAAACUACAAAUUAUGACGCUCUCAACUCCUUUCCAUAUGUUUCAUUUUGUUUGUUGACUUGGUUCGCAGUUAAAAGGAGGCGUAUAUCUUUCUUUCGAAACUAUUUAUAAUACGUGGGGCACAUAUUGAGGCUAUCGUCGUCAAGAUGGACCGGGCUUUAUCAAUGCUAGGACUUCUCGCAAGCGCUCUUGGAAAUGAAAGAAGGUUUACUGGCCUUUUCUACUUUGAAAUGAUAAAAAAGAAAACACCGAAUGCGUUAUUCUGGUAACUUACCUAGACACUUAUCUUACAUAUUUUCUUCGCAUGCAAAAAAUGGUUUAGUUUAAACUUCUAAUAACUUAGGGUGUGAAUGAUAACCAUUUUAGCCAAAAAUUAAUUUCUGAAAGAUAAAUAAAAUUUUCUAUUUCUAAUAUUGGAUGAGUUUCUAAGUAAAAAAUAUGCAUUUGAUAAUGACACAAAAUUUUUAUUUUUUGAAAAGAAAUUCAUAAAAUUUCUCUCUUUUGGGCAAUGGUGGGUGGUGGCAAUGGUAGUGGAUGGUUGUUGGCGACCGGUGGAUGGUAGAAGGCGGUUGACAAAUGAUGAUUAAGCAAACAGUAAACGAUGGCUAGCAACUGGCAAACAACGACCAUCGGUAGUGGCGGACGGUGGUGGUAGACGGCAAUCGGCGGCGAAUGGUCGUUGGCGGUGGCAACAAGCAACGGUUGAUAGAUGGCCACCGAGCAGAUGGUGGACAGUUGGCAGUGGCGAAUGGGGGGCCAGUUAGUAGCGACGACAAACGAUGAAAAAGGUUUUUAUUUCUCAAUUUUUGUUUCAAAAAUAAAGAAGUAAAAAAAAAAAUUAGUUUUGAAUUCUAUUCCAACUUAUUUUUGGAGUAAAAAUAUUUUCCAAAAAUAGAAAAAUGAAAUAGUUUUACCAAACAAAUUUCUAUUCCAAAUAUAAGUUCAUAACGAAGAAAUAGUUCUGAAACAAAAAAUGAAAUGGUUAUCAUGCGCGCCCUUAGUAUGCAAAUAAUUUCAAUUAACUCUAUUACAAUUGUCACAUUAUAUAUUUGAUCAACACAAAAACUUCAAGAGAUUGAUAAUUUUAGGGAGAAGGAUAAUGGAGUGUUAAAAGUUGUGUACGGCGCUUACUUUAGUGUUAAAAGCUUUUUUCGAAUCACUUAAGUGUCACUUUUUUUCAAAAAUGACUGCUGAAGUGCCGACUUUGAUUUGGGUUGUUGGAAAUCUGAUAUGAAAAUAAUUUAUUAAUUUUUCAGUCCUACAUGACUUGCCGACGUGUCUCGUCAGUAUAUAAUUACUCAACGACGUCGUCAAAAAUUGUAAAUAUUGAUCGUUUGAGUGCCAAAUUUUGUUUAAAUUGAUCCUUUCACACCAAUCACUAUUAAAAAAAGAUUUUUAAGUGCCAAGCAUGACAUGUGGACUGAAUUUUUUAAAUAAUGUGCCAAGUAAUAUAAAAUUUUUAACUAUAGAAAUUACGUAUUAUUUUUGGCCAAAAUUUCUCAUUGUUGACACUUAAGUGAUAAUCUUUUAUCCGAUUUGGCACAUAAGUGAUUUGGCGAAAAAUUUUGGUACUAAAGUGAGUACCGUUCACAACUUUUGACAGUUCUAGUGUUCUUUGCUCGAUAAUUUUUUUUAUGGUGUUCUAUGUACUGAUGUUUGAAGGGUUUAACUCUUAAAUUUAUCAAAUUGUUUCAUGUUUUGAAGAGUCUAAUUAAUUGGGAACUAUAGUUUGUUUAGCAUGCAAGCAUUUUUUUUCUUUUGCAGAAAUAAUAAGAGUCUCACUUUUAGAAGACAAUGCUACUGAAUUGAGAAGAAAUUUCAAAAGAAAAAGAAAAAAGGAAGCAGUAUUUAUCCAUAAUUUACAUUUUUUUCUAUUUUUUAAAAAAUUUCUCUAACUUAAUUCACUUUGUCGUGACUUUCCUCGAGGUGAAUUAUUAGGCAAAAGCUAAUAGAUUAUUAAGAUUACAUUUAGAGCAGACUCUCCUUAGACCAUACCAAUCACAAAUUUGGGGUUUCAAUUUAAUUAAUUAAACAUGCAAAUCAAUUCAAGAUUUGUAAGUAAUUUAUUAUGGAUAGAAUAGAAACUCAAGUAAAGUGUAGGAAAACACUCUAAUUUUGCAAACAAGAGAUAUUAUGAAUAUGAAUACUUGAUUACGUUAGAUAAAUCUAAUGCCAAUUUGAUACUUUUCUCUUUAUUUCAAAAAUAUUUUGCAAGCAAUUUAGGUAAAUUAUGAGCCUAAACUACUGAUCAUGCAAGUACACAAUCAAUAAUGUAACACUCAACAAAUCAAAGCAGUAAAUAAAUUGCUAAAAAUAGGGCGGACUUCAAUGCAAUAAGCAAAGCAUUACUCCACUAUGAUUAAUGUUCCAAUAUUUCAAGGUAUUAAUUUUUAAAAAAAAUGCAUGCAUAGCCUAAGCAUGUUUCUGAAUGCAAUGACAUUUAAUUCUUUUUGGGUUUUUCUUCUUAUGGAUGCAAUUUUAAUCUAAAUUAUAUCUAUGUAAAUUAUAAUGUAAAUUAAUGACACGCAACACGAACUUUAAUAUAAUCUAUAUGCAACCUAAUUCUAAUAUGAUGCACAAUCUAAUUUAUAUGAACUUAAACAUGCAAUAACUAAAUGACAUUGAUAUGUUGACGUGACAAUGAUCAUUUGGUAAUGAUACAACUAAUUCUAUAUGAUAUACGCAUGUUCUUUUUUGUGAUUUUCUAGAAAUUAACUGAAUAUGCAAUCACCUAAUUUAAAUUAGGAAACAAUUUACAUUAAAUUCUAUUCUAAAUUAGGUACUUUCCUAAAAAGUACUACAUGACUCCUAGAUAUGCAAUUCUAAUCUAGGAAACUAAUAUGAAUGCAAACUAUCCUAAAUGCAAUGUAAUUUUUAUGUUUCUCAAAAUAGGAAAGUUUCCAAAAUUAAUAACACGCAAUACAUAAACCCACGUAAUUAAAUGUUUACCACAUUUAAAUAGGAAACAAGGAUAAUUUGGGUUUCGAUCAUAGAUUUUAAAGAUCGAAACUUCAAUCAUCAAGUAUAAAAUCCAAUAUAUCAAACUAACGAUUUCCUAUACAGGGGACGCCUAAAACAUGCACCAAAUUGAGUUAUAAUCGAAAUAAUUCAAAUUAGGUAACCAGAUAUUCAAAGUGAAUGAGCAAACUUGGAACUUACCUAAAUUGGAUUACCAUCUCAAAGGACGACCAAUAGCGAGGGGGUCGGAAGGAAGACUUGCUGUGGCGAUAACUAGCGAGAAACAGUAAGAGGCGCGAACAGCAACAUCAAGGACUGUGAACAUCACGAGGGGAUCUUUAGAUCUUUGAUGCUCGAUUCCUUUGGUAAAGUUGAAGAACUAAGUGUCAUGGAUGUUUUCUUAAAAUUUCAACACAUUCCAACUUAGAACGAAUGUAUAAUCACCGUUCUCGCAAGACCACGAGUUGCGCUCUCACAAGUCUGACUGAUUGGGUUUUCUCCAUAAAAGACAUACUUCCAAAUAUUUUCUUGUCAAUCCAACCGGAAUAACUCAAUAACGAUGUCUUGUUGUACUAUCUAUAAAAUUUGAGCGCGAUCCAAUGAUUAAUGACUACAUACUUGUUGAUUUCAUGAAACUGUGUGCUGGAAUUUUUCUAGGGGACCGCGAGAGAGAGCUCAUGUGUGUAUGCUCUUUUAUUUUCUAUUUUUUUUCCCAUGUCUCUUAUGUCCUUUUUUCUUUUCUAAUGUCUAUUGCCAAUUUCAAGUGUCUCCGAAAACUCUAAUUUUCUGAACCUUUAAAGUACCUUUGCCACAUUUAUAUAGUCUAGAGUUUCAUGCCUUCCUCAGGAAUCAAUAAUGAACAAUCAACAAGCACCUGUUUUUCGAAAAUAGGCUGCUAGUUGCCAUGGGAUCAUAUGAAUGAAGUACACACACAGGGACUUCUCCUAUUAAGAAACAAACAUGACUACACCGAAUUAUCAGAUCCAUCACUUGUGUAAAGGAUAUUUGCAUUCACCGUUAGAUGACUAACACAAUCACAAGAAUUUGCUUUGACACCGAAUGACGCUGGAUGUCACACAUAGUAGUAAACAUCUAGUAACGCGCUGCUAUCUAGCCGUGGCAACGUCAAGUGCAUUCAUAUUUCCGUUUAGCCAUAAUGAGAAAAUAAAACGGCGAGGACAUGAGGACAUAUAAAAGCAUGAUUAUUCAUAGACAUUGUGUCUUGACCUCCACUUUGCACGAGCAUAAUUCCUAGAUUAGCAUGACUUUGGGGUAUGCUAGCAUUAAUUUAAAAUCUAUACCGGUAGUAUAACUGCUGAGCCUAAUCCAUCAUAGUUUCUAUCCUUCAAAGUGUGUAGUAGUUAUUAUUAUCAUAAUUGUUUCACAACUUAAGUAUUUGAGUAAAGGUGGAUCUAAGUGAAUAUGUGAUUGAUUGGCUUGGAAUUUGCCAUUCUCAUGAUGAUAUCUCUGUAUAUUCAGAGAAAGAGCUUAAACCGGAUAAAAGAAAAAGCUAUCAACGGAUUUUGUCAACUCCGUUUUGUCAAUCCCAUUUUUCAUUUAUUUUACGCCAGCCUAAUAGGUUACAAACUCAAAAAGGAGCCGAAACAUCAUUUAAAGUAGAGCUUGCAACAUCGAGAAUCGCCCGGAUUCGACUAUUUGCGAAAUUGCCCCUGAAGCAAAAUCCUACCUUGGUCCUCCAUGUUUCUCUCCUCGCCAGAAAGUCCAUCUACAGUUUCCAGAAGUCACUCUCAAUUAGCUGGGUUCUCUGUGCACCGGGGUGAUCUUUGAUGCUCAUUCAGGAACCAAAUCAGACUGAACCGGACCGUUGCAAUUGAGUGAGCGACAGGUCGUCGCAAAAGGGGUUUUCUACUAGAAACCCAAUAACUUCCGUUCGCAGCCGUGAUUGCAGUCAGGCGUGGGUGGGAUCUAUUUAUCUAACUAAUUAAUUAAGAUACGAGGGGUCUACAAAUUACACAUCCAUCGUAAAGUUAUACAAGACUUUUCGAUGGAGACAUGGCGGGCAAGUGCAUGAAACCUGUAGAAUGGACAAAACUUAUGGGACGGCAAUUCGAACAUUAUUGCUCCUAUGGUUCCGUGACGGUCUCGCUAAGCCAAUACCACUAAGUCUUGCUUCCCCGUCGCCAUCUCUCUUUUCUUCUUCCUUAAUCUUCUCUGCGUUUAUGCUCAAAGUUCUGAAGCAGCAGCUACAUAUCUGAUUCUAUGUUCUCUUUUCUUCUUCUCCUACAAAUGAAAAUCUCCGACACUGCAUCCAGCAAAACCCCUUCAAGCACCGAAAAACACCAGAAAGUAAUAUGACUUCCUCAUCAUCCACUCUUUAUUUCCUCAUUUUGCUGACUGUUCUGAUCUGGACCUACCCAUCCCAUGCACAAUAUUGCUUCGACACCACUGAAACUGUUGGGAAAAUAUAACUUCGAAUUGGGUAGAACAAUGAAGUUGAAUCUUUAGUUUUUUUUUUUUUUUACCAAAAAAAAAAUUCUAGUAUUUUUCCAAAGUUCCUCUAGAAAAUAAUUGAAAGAAUGGCUGUAGUUUUUAGAAUGAAUGCUCGAAAAGAUAAAAAAAUAAUCACACACUCGUUAUUCCAAAAACUAAUGUGUAUAUAUAUAUAAAACAGUCUUAAAACAUAGGUAACUCUUCAUGAAAAAUUGCAAAAAAUGAAUAAAUGUGUCCUUUUGAAAAUUGCUCAAAUGAACAAAGAUGUCCAUUCGGAAGAUGUUCAUUCGGAAGAAGUUGAAAAAAAGAACAAAUACAACCCUUCAGAAAAAAUUGCAAACCGAACAAGUAUUUUUUCUAAAGGUUGGCUUGAAAAGAUACAAACAAAAAUUCGGAAUAAUUAAAUAUUUUUUAAAAUAAAAUUUCGAAUUUUUUUUAAAUAAUUUCCGAAAAUUCUCAUAAACAAAAACAACCUUUGAUUAAAAUUAAUAAGAUAGCCGUAAGAAAAAUAAAUAAAUAAAUAACAAAAGGGUUAGUGAUAAUUAAACCAUAGGGGUGCAUAGCCAAAUAAUCGAGCAUCCGCACGCGGAUAUGGUGAGGUCUAGCCCACAUCUAAGCAUUCCUUUUGAUACAUAAAAGAAACACCACACUUAUUAAUUGAUCCACUUCCUUUCACUUUUCCUACGUGGGAUAAGAAAACAUAUACUUAGUUUGCUUUUACAAACAAACUUCCAACAGAAACUUCACAUCAAACUGCACCUACGCGAAGAACCACGACAAGGUCCUCAGCUCUCUCUCCAACGUAGCUGCACAUGAUGGGUUCUAUAACACGAGCACGGGCGAGAAUCCAAACACCGUCUACGCCAUCGCUUACUGCCAAGGCUUACUGCCAAGGCUUACUGCUGAGGUGAUACAUGGGCAGAUACCUGCGUGAUCUGCGUGAUGUCUGCAGUCGAAAAUUGGUCGUGAAGUGCCCUAACCAGAAGGCGGCUUUCUCUUGGGGAACCGGAGACCCACCAUGCCUUAUCCAAUACUCGGACACUGCAAUCCACGGCGUACUGCAAGCGUAUCCUACACUUCCAUUUUACCGGGUUUGGCAACCUCACCAUGAACCAUGCGAUAUGGUGGAACUUGACACUACGACUUUUGAACGAUGCCGCAGAUGGCUCUUCGAAGCGCAAGUUUGCGACUGGGCAGGCUGACUUACUGUACAACAGUAGUACAAUCUACUCGUUGUUACAGCGUAGUCCUGACUUGUCGCCCACCGAUUGCAGGAGUUGCUUGUACGAAGCCAUCGAUGAUUACCGAGAAGUGUUGCAGCGGAAGCCUAGGACGAGGCUUUGUUUGUAAGCGAAGCUGUAUUUUCCGAUGGGAUUUGUACCUGUUUUAUGCGUCGAGCGCCAGUCCGCCGUCUUCUCCACCACCUCCAGUGCCGGUUCCUGGUGGAAAUAUCGAGAAAGGUACGGUGCAUUUGAGCUCAAGGAAAAGCUAAAACCGCUUGAUAUGACGAGACCGAGACUGCUGAGUUUUUGUUCUUUUUUUUUUAUAAGUAAAAAUUCCAGAGUAGCUAGCUAUUCUUGAAACUGGAGUUUAGAUUUUCAAUUUGUUCAAUCCUCCAUCAACUUUCCAUUAUAAAGUCAAGAUUUUUCAUAAUUACAUUAUUGUUUGGAUUUUGGAAUAUUUUUUCAUGUGAGUCUAUUUCCUGAAUCAACAAAAAAAGAAAGUCCUUUUUUACUACUCUAAAUGAUGUUGUAUUUAUCCUAUUAUAAGGAUCAUAAGUUAAAAUAUACUUAAACGGAACUAUAUUAAUAUUUAUAAAACCAAAAAUGUAUAAUUGUAAUAAAAGGAAAUUAUAUUUAUCUUUUAUUAAAAAAAAGUGGAUUGAAACUAAAGAUACUAUAAUAUCUAGACAAUAAUUUGAUUAUAAAACCUUGUGAAUAGUAUCAAAGGGCUGAUUUGACUCAUGAAAAGUGAAGGACUAAAUUGAACACAUUGUAAGCUCAUGGACUAUAUUGAAAAUUUAGAAGCAGCUAAAAGAUUAUAUUAAAAAAAUUAUAACUCCAAGGAUAAUAUUGGACAUUGAGCCAAAAUUUGAAGGCAUAUUUGAGCCAUUUUUUUCAAAAAAGUUAGAAAUGUGGGAAAAAAAAAGUCAUAAACGCUGCAACAGUAGUCCAAAUUUCCAAAACAGCUAAGAAAGUGGCCCCAUAACACAAGUCUCUUCAUUUAAACUGCCACACGGCAAUAUGUUUUGAAAAAGAAAGUCUCAUGAGCUUAUUAGCUCUCCGAAAGCACUAAAUCUUGACCAGCGAAGGCAAAACUCCAAUCGUCACAUCGACGAGAGUUACAUUGUCGACGAGAUAUCUAAUGAGUUACAAUAGCCGAUGAGUUUGGACCAUAGACAAAACUGGCUAGCCCUUGUAUGGGUAUGGAAGAAUUAAUGGAGAUGUGCUGGAUGUAUUUAUGGUCGUGGUGCGCAAAUCUAGUUAGGAAAGAAGUAUAAUGAAGAAGAUGAACAAGUUGUCAGAAAAAAAAUUGUAAGACAAAUUGUCGAACUUAAAUCAGCCAAACAAGAAAUACCCUGUAGGAAACAUAUGCCAAAAGGUUGUGCUUGAAACAACAAGGCCGUUUAUGAAAACAAAAUUGUCCAAUCACUUUUGAACUUGUUGUACAGAUGUCAAUUCUCUUCUAAAAUUUCUAAUUUUGUCAAUUUAGUCACGAAUCUUAGAGUAAUAUAUUAAUAUAAUUAUUUAGGUCACUUUUUGCUGGAAAUUGUUGUCUUGGCAAUGAAUCACAUAGAACAGCUAACAAUGAAUGGACCGCCAUGUCAAACUGCAUGUCAAAUUACCAAUCUUGAUGCCUCAAUCUUAGGUCAUAAUUCAACCUAGUGAAGCAGAGUGUUAAAAUGUUUAAAUAUUAAAUACGCUUUCAUCUAAAAAAUUUUCAAAUUAGUUUGGCAUUGUCUCAUACACGUAAUGACAUGUGUGCAGGAAAUAACUACAAAGCAAGAAAAAGCAACAAAUUUACUGUGAUAACCAUCGCAAUUAUAGUUCCUAUUGGAGUCGUUAUGACACCUCUCUUUCUCACUUGUUGUUUGCUUUGAAGAGAGGGAAAGAAGACAUAUGAAGUCGUCCAAGGAAAGAGUGGUAAAUCGACUAUCUGCCUUUAUUAUUUCGUAAACUAUCUGUGUCUGAGCAUAUUAUGAAACUUUCUUAACUUUUUUUUUUUUUUUUAAGGAAUCAGAUAUGUUAUCCAUACAAAUUGGGAGUCCAUUUGACAUAAAUAUGGCAUAUAUAAUGGAAAAGAUCAAGGACAAAUAACCAAUUAACCAUGACAAUUUUUGUAAUAAAAUAUUGUUACUUUUCUUUCUUAUUAUGAUAAACUUGAUUUUUACCCAAAAUAUAAAAAUGAACUAGUGGAAGAGGCCCGUUCGGAUCUGAUCCGCCCUAGUUUUGAUCACCCCUUCAUACGACAGCCACCUGCAGAAAACAAUGAACAACAAUCAAGAUUCAAAAUAGUCUUCCAUAAAUGGAAGAUUACAAUUCUUCAUGCUCUUUCAACGUUCAAAACUAUACUCGACUGCACAAGCAAUAAUAAUGCCAUCAAUAGAAGGAAUACUUUGGGAAAGUAACAGCUCAUUUCUGGCAUUCAGACAAAAUAAUGCAGCAGUUCUACAAAUAUUUCACCAAACACCUAUGAAAAUCUCUCCAUUUCAUAGCUUGCUGCAUCAGGACAAUUCAAAUUCCCAAACACCAAUAUCAUUAGGAAAACAAAGCUGAAGAACACUCUUCCAGACUUGCUUACAGAAACUGCAUCCAAAGAAUAAAUAGGAUCUAAUCUCAGUUGUUUCUUGACACAAAAAAUAGGGAGUGGCCAUGAUUAGAAGACUAUCUAUCAAUUCCUUGAAAUAUAGGCAGCUUAUCUUGUAUCGCCAACCAAAAUAUGAAUACAAACCUUAGCAAAUUAGAUGAAAUCAAAUCAAUAGAUACCAUUCAACUCUUGUGACUCUUUUCCUCACAUCCUCCCAUGCUGAAGCAGAGGUAAAAAUGUCGCAAGAAGCAGUAGUGCAUCUUGUCUUCCGAAGAAGACUUCUAAAAAAUUACACUACAAACAUCUACCUGGAUUGAUACCAAAUCUUCAUACUUCACAUUGGGCCUUUUUCCAUUCAAAGCGAAAAUUAUGUCAGCUGCUUUUGCAGUCCAGAGAAGAGCGGCAUCUUAAACUACUCUCCUUGGUUAUAGAUCCAGCAAUAUCCCAUUAGGAUGCCAUGAGACAUGCCACUAGGGUAUAGAUUUGACAUGACCAACCACAUAAGGAGGCCUCAAAAUACUCCCAACCUUUAGCAAUUCUCUCCAACCAUAGGUAGCAUCUGCACCGCAUUUAACAGACCUUACACUACUCUCAGCAUGAAGAAGUGACUAAGAUAAAAGAUACAUCCGAUUACUUUGUUCCCUGUAGUAUUUAUGGUUUUCCUUUAUUUUUUAUGACCACUCAAGAGAGGAAAGAUUUCUUUGGGGGUAGGGGGACUAUCGUACUGGUCCCAUCCGAUGGUCUUCAUUGGGAUAAUGUUCCCAAGUACUAGCAACAAUAUAAAUACCACCACGAGCCAAAUUGAUGUAAUCUCAAAAUUAGUAUAAACACCACUGCGAGCCAAAUCGUCGUAUUCUCAUAAUCAAAUUAUGUUUUUUGGUAAUGCAGGUGCAAACGAACUUACUACUGUGGAGCCUUGCAAUUUGAGUUGGCUACAAUACAAGCUGGGGCAAAUGAUUUCUCUCCUGAAAACAAGUUGGGUGAUGGUGGAUUUGGUGGAGUAUUAGUUAGAAACAAUAAAAAAUGCCUUAUAUGUGAAUUGAACGUGAUGGUGCCAGAAAAGAAACAAACAUGUAACAUUUUUUAUGUUAGUUUUUAAGAAGUUCUGACAAGGAAUAAAAUGAUAAAUGCAACAAACUUUAGGGAAGACCUCCUAAUGGACAACAAAUUGCGGUGAAGAGGCUAUCUCAAAGCUCAAGACAGAGUGUUCAAGAAUAAAGUCCUAUUAGUUGUGAAGCUUCAACAUAGAAACUUUGUACAGCUGCUCGGAUUUUUGCUUGGGGGGAGAUGAAAAGCUGAUGGCCUCCGAGUUUCUGCCAAGUAAUAGUCUUAAUUACUUCUUAUUUGAUAUGUUGCUAUUUGACCUUCUUAAGUGGAGAAUGUGUAAUUUGUUUGAAAUCAAAAAGUUUGAGCUUGCACUUGUUGCGGAAACCUUGAAAUUAUCGGUUUUCUAUUCUUUCAACUGACUACAGUUUUUUGUUAAGUUACCAUGUGUAUGAUCAACCAUCAAGUUUUAUCAAACGACAACUACAACUAAUGCUGGCCAACAAUAUAUAGCCAGAAAAUUUCUCACAACCUUUUCCUAGAAAACCUUAAUUUGGCCGGGCAGCUUCAACUUCUUAUAAACUCCAUUCACAUGGAAAGAUCAACUUUAAUUAUUGGUUGCUUGUACAGUCAGUCCACUUUUAGAUCUAGCCGUCCCCAGAAAUACAUACAUGCACCUGCAAAGAGCGAGUGUGGACCAUCAUCCUCCUGGCAAAUUAGGUUCUCAAUUUAAGUCUUUAGUAAUUAUAUGUCAUUGUCUUAUAAAACUUUAGGUAGAUUCCAUUUAAUUAUUAGUGUAUUAGAGAUGUAUUUUAUCUAGCUAUCUACGUAAGUUCCUACAUUUAACAAAUAUAUGCCUUCCAUUCUAAGUACAGAGAUUCUGCCCAAAAAAAAAAAAAAGUACAGAGAUUAAAUCCAAUAAUGUCAGGAUUUCUUUUUUUCAAUACAAAAGUCGUUGAUCUCCUUAUAAAUAACUAAUUAUUUAUGGGUUUAUCGACAAAUAACCGAGGUCAUGAGAUGACAGCGGGCUUAUGUAGCUAUAUAUCUAUUAUGUCAAGGAAAAAGGGGGUUGCUCCUUCUGAUUUUUAUUUUUUUAUCAACAAAAAAACUAUCUACAUACAACACUUUAAUUAUGUCAAUUUUGAUGAAAUCUAUUAUCAAUUGAAGAACUUGUAUAUGAUGGAGAAGGACGAAAAUACUAAAUUAUCAACAAAAUUGGUAGUCAAAUACCCAACAACUCAACAAAAUAUUUUAAGUGGAGUAAAGUCCAAUCUGUCCUUGUUUGCAAAUUACUAAUGUCUGCAUCCUUAUCCUUAACUUAUCUUUCCUAGUCUCCGCCUAAGGUUAAGGACGAAACAGUUCAAACUCACUUUCAUGUCAUUCAGCUUUCAAGAACCCAUGGCCACUUAACUAGAAUUACGUCCAAUUCAAUCCAUGAUGUGAGUCACGUGACCAUUAAUAUCGACACUCACGUGAAGAAGAUUACUCGAUAAAGUCAAUAUCAAAUUCGAGAACUUUCUCGAGAUCUUACCCCCUUGCAAAUCCAACCCUUCGUUAGACUUCUAGAAUGGCAAUGGAAUAGGAAUGAAUGAACUUAUCCACCGAGGAGGUGAUAGUGUCUCCAGAUAAUACAUGUGGAUUUUAUCUAAUUUGUGAGAAGAGCAUUCGAAAGAAAUGAUAUAAUUUGGCAUUGAAAAUUGCAAUACUAAAUGUGCCCGAGUGAGAAUACUUAUCAAUGUAAGGCUAGUAUAUGAAGGAUAAAAGAGAGUAAUAUCUAAAGUGAAUUAGAUUAUAGCGUUAUACAGUGAUCUAAUAAAAAAAAAAAGAUCAAUCGCAUUGUACCUCCAAAAUAAAUAGGUGUAAUUCGAGCAAAACGUUUGAGAGGGUUUGAUCAUUCCUUACACCGAUUGAUCGUUGCAUCGAAUUGCACAAAUCAAUUUUGAUAUUGCAAAGGUGUUGCUAUUAUUACCGUAAUUUUUGUGGAAAAUCCAAAGCUAUGACCGCCAGAGAAAAUGAGGGCCACCAAAAUCACUUCCAUUCCAUCUCUCUCUUUCUCUCUCUACAAUGACGUCACUGGGAUACAUGUUUUGACUUUUCUUCCUUCCAGUCUCCACGUGGACCCAAUUAGAACGCAAUUCACGCAAUUGACUUUGGUCAACGCCCUCGUACGAGGGGAAAUGAUAUCUUCCAUCCUCACCGUCCAUCUUACGCCUCUCCCCAACCAAGUCACCCCAACUCCUGUCGCUUUAACACAAAGGAAUGGGACUUUAGUGCUCUUUUGACUUUAAGGAAAAUCUCCCACCGUUUUCCUUGACUUGGUCAAAAAUUGGACCUUACGGAAACUAAGGUAUGAAUAUUAUAUGUUUUAGAACUAUAAAAUAUGUCGCAUAGGAGACCACCGGCCGUGGUGGCUCAUACGAGUAGACUUUAGUGAUCCUUCGUAAGAGAGGUGAGGAGUUCGAAGUCCUUGCAAUGCAAGGAGGCCGAAAGAGUUAUUUGGUGACUUAAGAAUGACGCCGUGGUAGUGGGUCCUGUGCUAGCAUCACCGGGAGGUUGUUGGUUACAAACUGGUUCCUCUUGCCCAAAAAGGAAAAAAAAAAUGUCGCAUGUUCACAAUUCCAAAUUGUAGACGUUCAUAACUUGGACCUUGAAUUUCAACAUGCAAUAAUCCGACUUGUAUUGAAUUUUCCUAAAAGAAAAUCUGAUGCUUCACCUUCCAAGCUUUCAACGGUGUUGUUGAACCUAAUCUGCAUUGCGUUUUUCCUAUUAAAAAAAAAUAUGUGAUCAUAAAAUUGCUUAGAUUUGACUUUGGUGACCGUAGUCUAAUAAAUCAUCCAUAUGACCAAACAUCCAUCAUUUGCAUGUUGAUGUAUAAACGACAUGAUACAUGAGAAAAUUAUUGUAUAUACUUAGCCUGAUUGAUAGUUUAAAUUGAUCACAUACUAAGAAACAAUGAAACAACAAGCCCUCCAUGGAAAAACAAACGCGAGUUCUCACUAUAUGCCAUUAAUUAAAACGACCCUAUAUAUUUCGAUAAUUUUUUUUAUAUUUUUAGCAAUGCAUUAAGGUCAACAAAAUUUGUGGUAGGACAAUGUGCAGGUCGUUUGCUUAAUACCCGUUAAGAUUCCAACACAAGCAGGACCUUGCUUACAUUUGUAGCCACUGGAUCCCACCAUUUGAACAUAAAUAAUAAAGACAAAAGAUUGGAAAUCCGAGGCGUGUAAACAUUAAACGUGCGGCGGAGCCUAAAUCCCAUAUUUUAGAUUAUUUUCGCCGAUGCACCUAGCAUUAUUCUUAUUAUAAUUAUUUACCAGAUCAGACGGUCUAGAUUCAUUUUAAUGAACGUGCUAAAUUCUCCCAAUACUUUCUGAAAGAAUAUUUGGUACUCGUCUUGUCAUGUGUGCCAGCCUAGCAAACAAGAAAGAUCUUGAAACGCGAUCGAUCCGUAUCGCAUGCGGCACCCAAAUUUCUCUCUGUGCUCUCCUCUCUCUCUCUCUCCUUGCUGCACGCUCUCUCUCUUCUGCCUCCGGUCUGCGCGCGCUCUGGGGAGAGGAGAGAGAGAGCGUGAAGGUGAGGCAGAAGUGAGAAAGCGCGUGGAGAGAGGAGAGAGUAGAGGAGAGGAGAGUUUUUAAAUUAGCCUGACACUGGUCCCUGUGGACACGUGUCGCCAUCUCAUAACCCUCCUAUUUAUAAUAUAUUCUCAUAGUUUCCACAACAAAAAUACAUAGGAGGGCAGACAACCCUCUUCUCCUUCCCAUAAUUCCCAGCCCCCUGCCGCAAAGCCAAGGGAGUCAUCAACCCGAAAAUGAGUUCUUGCUUCUCCCUCUCCCUCUCCCUCUCCCUCUCCCUCCUCUUCUUCUUCAUCAAUUUUUCGGGUACAGAAUCUGCACCUACUUAUCUAUGGCAUUACUGCAACGCCACCCUCUACUCUACCAACUCCACCUACCAAUCCAACCUCAACACCCUGCUCUCUAACCUCUCCGCCGCUGCCGCUGCCACCAACAACACCGACGGCUUCGCCAACGCCACCGCCGGCCAAAACCCUCCCGAUCGGGCCUACGGGCUCUUCCUCUGCCGCGGAGACGUCAGCACCGCCACGUGCAGCGAGUGCGUGACCACCGGAACACAGGAUAUCCUCCAAAGAUGCCCCAACCAGCGAGUCUCUACGAUCUGGUACGACGAAUGCAUGCUGAGGUACUCCAACCGGUCCAUCUACGGGGUCAUGGAACAAGUACCUGGUCUCACGAUGUACAACACCGGGAACAUCUCCGACCCAACCCGGUUCGUGCAAGUCCUGGGACAGACCACGGACGACGUCGCCACAAAGGCGUCCGACGGUGGGUCAGUGAAAAAAGUCGCGGUCGAGGAGGCGAAUUUCACGAGCUUGCAGAAGCUGUACACCCUUGCGCAGUGCACGCCGGACUUGACUGCGUCGGACUGCAACACAUGCCUUCGCGCGGCGAUUGCGGGCCUUCCCCAGGACAAGCAAGGUGGGAGGACGCUCAAUCCGAGCUGCAGCGUGAGGUUUGAGCUAUACCCCUUUUACAAUGCCUCGGCUUUGGCGGCACCGGCCCCUCCGCCAUCCCAGGUUCCGUCUCCUCCUCCUGCCCCUAAAGGUACGCGUUUGUUUAUUAUUAUUUGUCUUCCUCUAUGCUAGAAACAUCUAUUGCAUUUAUUCAUUUGGCAACUACUGAUGCUACUUGAUAGUCUAAUUUUUUUUUUUUUUUUUUUUUGGUAAAAGUAAGAUCUUGAUAGUCUAAAUUCUUCGAUUGUACUUCUUUAACAAAAAUAAACUAUGAAGUGCUGUCAAUGAUUCAUACACAGCGGUCAAUGUACUUCUAGGGGCUUUUCAGAGUCUCAUUCUCUUUCGCUGUACUCUUAAUAAUUUGAUUGACGAUGUAGAUUUUUCAUUUUUUUUCCUCUGGUUUGUAAGUUCUACUUCGUUUCAUUUUUCUUUUGGAAUUAAGUCUAAUUUUGACUUUUUUAGCACGAACUUCUAAAAUAUAUUUGAUACAAGUACUGAUAUUUCAAAUUAUAUAUAAUUUCCAUAAUCUUCCCAAGCUUAAAAGUGUUCUUUUGCAUCUUCAACUUUGAAGGAAAAUUAUGAGUGGAAGGAAAUAAAUAACUUUUGAUUCCACACAGAUAAGCUAUCCAUUAAACACCUACGCAUGUUUUUGUUCUUACCCUUUUUAAUUUCUCUUUAUUUCUAGCAUACUUGUUAUUAGAGUCAAAUGUAAUUUUUUUUUUCCUAAGUCUCCUCUUUUAGCUUUGAAUCAAGAUCUUGAUUUGGAAGGUAUUGUCUUGUCUAUCCAUCCUAUUAAUCAUGAAGCAUUAAUUAUCAUAAAUCUUUUUCUGUCAAGGAAAAAUAUAUGGAUAACAUAUGUACUGAGUAAUUGGUUAGAUGAAAGAAAACAUUAUCUUCGAUUACAUAAAAUCCUCUGGUCUUGUGGUCCUGUCUUGUGGUCCUGUCUUUUUUUUUUUUGAGUGAUGAGUUAGGUGUUGUUGUAAAUUUUUGUUAAAGAAACUGUUGAGCGGCUGUGUUGAAGAUAUUAUUAAUAAGUGCCAAAAGUUAUAGAAAUAAUUACGUCAUCGACGUCAUUCGUUCCAUAAAGUCAAGAUGGUGGGUCACAGGCAAUUAUUUGUCUCAAUGUCAUACCAGUUGAACACGGUGGGUUCUACGUCCACUUUAGAGAUUAGAUUCUUUACAUAACAAUUGGUUAAAGGUGGUUUUAACCAAUUAAUUGUUAAUCCCCUAUAAACAAUUGGUGCACUCACAUGGGAACUAGGAAAAGAAUGGAUUUUGUAAGAUGGACAGAUUAUAAAUUACAGCUUAAUUUCUUCUGGACAUUUGCUCUUUAAGCGCACUUUUUAUUUUUGUUUUUCUCUGUUGUUUAUGUUUCCUCUAGCCUAUAGUAGCAGUUCCAGUUUCUAAAAUUUCGUAGUCAUAAACACAUACUGAUGCUAUUAAGAUUUUGAUGCACAUAUGUAGGCAAAAGCAAUAAAACUACUGUGAUAAUCAUUGCCGUCGCUGUUCCUGUUGGCGUGGGCGUGGUGCUUCUCUUCCUCGCUUGUUGUUUGAGGCGGAGGAAAGUGACCAAGCCGUACGAAGUCGUCCAAGAAGAUCAAAGCAGUAUGAAAUACGUACCUAUGCUGUAUAGUUGGAUAGAAUGACGAAACUGUAUGCGCGGGAUAUACUGUUCAAUGCUUUCAGUGAAAUGACCAUCUUAUGUUGUUUUGUUGUGUAGGCGUAAAUGACAUUGCAAACGCCGAGUCCUUGCAGUAUGAUUUUGCCACCAUACAGGCCGCCACAGACAAUUUCUCUCACCAAAACAAGUUGGGUGAGGGUGGAUUCGGGGAAGUUUUCCAGGUAUGGUUAGUUGGAAAGUAGAUUGAGAAUGGCUUAAAUGCACUUGAAAGAUCUUUAGUGUGAAAAGAUUUGAAGAUUUUUGAUUUGGUAAUUUUGAAAGGUUGUCAUCAGGAGCUAUUCAUGUGUACUUAGAGAUCAAAAUGCUCAUUUUUCAGGGUAGGCUUAAUAAUGGACACCAAAUAGCUGUGAAGAGACUAUCUCAAGGCUCGGGACAAGGUGUUGGAGAAUUUAAGAACGAAGUUCUACUGGUAGCGAAGCUUCAACAUCGGAACCUUGUGCGGAUGCUUGGGUUCUGCUUGGAGGGUGAAGAAAAACUGCUUGUCUAUGAGUUUGUGCCGAACAAAAGUCUCGACUACUUUUUAUUUGGUACGUUACAUUUCAAUUUAUUCCAAAGCUAUUGCUUUUCCUGUUGAGGGAGCAUUUGAGUAGCCACCAGUUACGUUGAAUGUUUCCAUAGCUUUUGGAGCCUAGAGUUAGUUCGCAUAAAAUCUAUUUAAGAGGAUUUAUUAAGCAAAGAUACCCACACUUGAAUUGUGCAUACAUGUAGAUCCUGAAAAGAGCAAGCAAUUGGAUUGGUCGAGACGUUACAAGAUAGUAUGUGGGAUUGCUCGAGGAAUGCUCUAUUUACAUGAGGACUCUCGACUUCGGAUCAUUCAUCGGGAUCUAAAAGCAAGCAAUAUCUUGUUGGAUAGUGAAAUGAUUCCAAAGAUUUCAGAUUUUGGCAUGGCAAGAAUUGUUGUAGUGGAUCAAACACAAGCAAAUACCAAUAAAAUUGUGGGGACUUUGUAAGUAUUGCUAAACUUUGUUCUCUACUUUUUAUGCUCAUGUAUACUUAUAUUGCUAAUGCAUUACAUUUUGCAGUGGUUAUAUGUCACCUGAGUAUGCAAUGCAUGGGCAGUUCUCUGUGAAGUCCGAUGUAUAUAGUUUCGGUGUUCUACUUCUUGAGCUCAUUAGUGGUAAGAAGAAUAGUUUCUUCUACCAAUCAGACGGGGGCGAAGAUCUCGCUAGCCAUGUAAGUUGCAGAAAUUGACUAUAACUAAAUGAAAUUGUUAAACAAAGCAGAGUUGACAUAUUGAAAUUUUUUUUCUCAAUGAACUAUUUUUUAGGUCUGGAAAAAUUGGAGAGACGGUACGCCAUUGGAAGUGUUAGAUCUAGCCGUUGGAGACUCGUAUUCAAGAGAUGAAGUUCUUAGAUGCCUCCACAUUGGUUUACUAUGUGUUCAGGAAGAUCCAAUGGAUAGACCCACAAUGGCAAACAUAGUCUUGAUGUUGAACAGCUACUCUGUUAGUCUUGCACUGCCCCAACAACCAGCCUUCUUUCUCCGGAGCAGGACAGAGACAUUGAUGAAAGAGCUCGAAUCAGACCAAUCUGCCAGCAGGUCUACACCAGUGUCGAUCAAUGAGAUGUCAGUCACCGAAGUUUACCCCCGUUGAACGGUGAUGUGAGUAGAAAUCUUUCCUCACGAUAGUCACCAAAAGACCUUGGUCAUAAGAUCUAUAGCAGUUCAGCGAGAUCAAUUAUGAACAAUGAGCAAACACCUUUGGCAUGGGAGGCUGUUUAUAUUUAUGUACAUCUGUGUGUGGUCUUAUUGAGGAAUAUAAGUUCUUCCUUGUCUAAAAAAAUAAUGAACAGAAACGGCUAGAGUUUCAUUAAUCAUCGUCUUUUACAUAACUUUUCAUGAUGUACGAGGAAAUAUAUCCAUUUGUGCAUAAUUUGCACCACUUUAUUUUCGUCACAUUUAUUAGAAAUCGAGGUCAUAAACCUCGCCUCCGUAUAUAUUCCUUAGAUUGACUUGCAUAGUUACUUCAUUAUAAUGAUUGGUGGUUGAUUACUGAUGGAGAGGGAAGCAACUAAGCACGGAUCCUUCCGCUCGUACAUUUCCUCAUCUUUACACAAGAACAAACAUCUCCCUCGCUCUCUCUCUCUCUCUCUCUCUCUCUCUCUCCC
Molecule: long non-coding RNA, 25469 nt
Filed under: Eucalyptus grandis
Lineage: Eukaryota; Viridiplantae; Streptophyta; Magnoliopsida; Myrtales; Myrtaceae
Description: long non-coding RNA (EGRA_LNC003280)
Source: RNAcentral